This 958-nucleotide ribosomal RNA is filed under the name Microbacterium esteraromaticum. Its description in RNAcentral is "bacterial SSU rRNA". It matches the Rfam family "Bacterial small subunit ribosomal RNA", at positions 51 to 1015 of the family's 1533-position model. The record is from RNAcentral. Lineage: Bacteria; Bacillati; Actinomycetota; Actinomycetes; Micrococcales; Microbacteriaceae.
ACACAUGCAAGUCGAACGAUGAAGCUGGUGCUUGCACUGGUGGAUUAGUGGCGAACGGGUGAGUAACACGUGAGCAACCUGCCCCUGACUCUGGGAUAAGCGCUGGAAACGGCGUCUAAUACUGGAUAUGUCCUGCCACCGCAUGGUGUGUGGGUGGAAAGAUUUUUCGGUUGGGGAUGGGCUCGCGGCCUAUCAGCUUGUUGGUGAGGUAAUGGCUCACCAAGGCGUCGACGGGUAGCCGGCCUGAGAGGGUGACCGGCCACACUGGGACUGAGACACGGCCCAGACUCCUACGGGAGGCAGCAGUGGGGAAUAUUGCACAAUGGGCGGAAGCCUGAUGCAGCAACGCCGCGUGAGGGAUGACGGCCUUCGGGUUGUAAACCUCUUUUAGCAGGGAAGAAGCUUUCGGGUGACGGUACCUGCAGAAAAAGCACCGGCUAACUACGUGCCAGCAGCCGCGGUAAUACGUAGGGUGCAAGCGUUAUCCGGAAUUAUUGGGCGUAAAGAGCUCGUAGGCGGUUUGUCGCGUCUGCUGUGAAAUUCCGAGGCUCAACCUCGGGCUUGCAGUGGGUACGGGCAGACUAGAGUGCGGUAGGGGAGAUUGGAAUUCCUGGUGUAGCGGUGGAAUGCGCAGAUAUCAGGAGGAACACCGAUGGCGAAGGCAGAUCUCUGGGCCGUAACUGACGCUGAGGAGCGAAAGGGUGGGGAGCAAACAGGCUUAGAUACCCUGGUAGUCCACCCCGUAAACGUUGGGAACUAGUUGUGGGGUCCUUUCCACGGAUUCCGUGACGCAGCUAACGCAUUAAGUUCCCCGCCUGGGGAGUACGGCCGCAAGGCUAAAACUCAAAGGAAUUGACGGGGACCCGCACAAGCGGCGGAGCAUGCGGAUUAAUUCGAUGCAACGCGAAGAACCUUACCAAGGCUUGACAUACACGAGAACGGGCCAGAAUGGUCAACU